AGACACUUGGAAGAGGAGACACCAAGAUCAAAAAGAUGGUUUUCCCAGGGCAAGCCUUAGCCAUUGCACUCCAGAUGUGCAGACACUGCGGUUCCCGCAAUCGCCAGAAACUCAACUUUAUAAUUUGUGGUAGGGGGGAAGUGUGAUUGUCUCUCCCCUG
This is a small nuclear RNA of Jaculus jaculus (lesser Egyptian jerboa), 160 nucleotides long. Its record names the gene U1. It matches the Rfam family "U1 spliceosomal RNA". Rfam says of the family: U1 is a small nuclear RNA (snRNA) component of the spliceosome (involved in pre-mRNA splicing). Its 5' end forms complementary base pairs with the 5' splice junction, thus defining the 5' donor site of an intron. There are significant differences in sequence and secondary structure between metazoan and yeast U1 snRNAs, the latter being much longer (568 nucleotides as compared to 164 nucleotides in human). The record is from Ensembl. Lineage: Eukaryota; Metazoa; Chordata; Mammalia; Rodentia; Dipodidae.